This 440-nucleotide ribosomal RNA is filed under the name uncultured bacterium. Its description in RNAcentral is "partial 16S ribosomal RNA". It matches the Rfam family "Bacterial small subunit ribosomal RNA", at positions 338 to 795 of the family's 1533-position model. The record is from RNAcentral.
CCUACGGGUGGCAGCAGUGGGGAAUAUUGCACAAUGGGGGAAACCCUGAUGCAGCGACGCCGCGUGAGCGAUGAAGUAUUUCGGUAUGUAAAGCUCUAUCAGCAGGGGAGAAGAUGACGGUACCUGACUAAGAAGCCCCGGCUAACUACGUGCCAGCAGCCGCGGUAAUACGUAGGGGGCAAGCGUUAUCCGGAUUUACUGGGUGUAAAGGGGGUGUAGACGGGGACGCAAGCCAGAUGGGAAAGCCCGGGGUUCAACCCCGGGACUGCAGUUGGAACUGUGUGGCUGGAGUGUCGGAGAGGUAGGCGGAAUGCCUGGUGUAGCGGUGAAAUGCGUAGAUAUUAGGAGGAACACCAGUGGCGAAGGCGGCCUGCUGGACGAUGACUGACGUUGAGGCUCGAAAGCGUGGGGAGCAAACAGGAUUAGAUACCCUAGUAGUC